Scleropages formosus (Asian bonytongue) is the source of this 1618-nucleotide long non-coding RNA. RefSeq lists it as uncharacterized. Lineage: Eukaryota; Metazoa; Chordata; Actinopteri; Osteoglossiformes; Osteoglossidae. The record is from RefSeq and is a predicted model, not a curated record. The transcript is spliced from 3 exons.
GGACAAGCAGUUUCAGACUGUGUGUGUGUGUGAGAUAUUCAAUUCCAUCUUAUAGCAGCAUUGUGUUGUCAAAGACGUUUAAGGUGUGUCAUUGGGUCACAGUGAGCCUCAUCUUUGCCAUGAAAAUAGAGAACUAGAAUGGUUACUAAUUUUCACCUUACAACACUCAAUUGUCCACUUUUUACAAAAGUGUAAACAAGGAAAACGGUACACUACAUUGGCCAUAACCAACCAGAGAUAGAAAGUGUCAUGACCAGAAGCCCCAGGUCCUUUGAGACAGACUGGAUGGAUCAUCUCGAUGGAUACUGACAUGUUCACGGUCCAUCUGCGCUCUGCAGGAGGUCUUUUUUUUCCCUGUUUUGAAAGGUUACUCUGAAAAUUAAACCUUGCAAGUUUGUUUUUUUGUUGUUGUUUGUUUGAACUGGGCAGGAUUAAGAAAAUUUGACUUGUUUUGCUUUCCCCUUGAGGUUUGCAGGCACACCUAUGACUGUGAGUUGGCCAAUUAGAACCCAGUGAGUCACAGUGCAUCCAGAGGCAGAAGAACAAGAUCCCUGUGUCUUUUUGUUGCUACGCAUCAAGCCGCAUUCAGCUACACGAUAAUUUGCAGACCGAUGUACAAGACCAGUCAACACCGCCUCAUCAGAGACCUAUGUGGGAAAGGCACUGUAUUAUCAGGCAAACACCAAUUCAGCAAAGCACCAGUUCCUCAAUUGGUUUACUGUACGUUCCUCUCCCUCUUGUAACUCUUAUUCAGGUACAGUGAUUUUGAGCACUUCCCCUGCUCAACAGAGUCUCCGUGACAAAGGUUGCAGUUGAUAAGGAACAUACGGCUGAUUCCGAAGGUAAAGCUGAAACUGAUGAAAGCGAGGAGCCACAGUUACCAUGUUGGUUACAUCGCCAAUAGAUCUAACGAGUACACUGGAAAUGUAAUACAGUAACCUAGCAGCAACUUGACAAAUAAGCUUCCAUUCAGGUCCUAUUCUUUCUUAGUUUUGCUCAACUGCUACAUAGGUUUACGACCGCUUUCUUUGGUACAACUAAGAAAUACCAGGUGAGAUCCAGUUUUUUCCUUUACAGAUGCAUGAAAUCAAUAAGUGUGUUGGAUACAGAUCUUAAGGCUUUGGGUCUGUGCUGGCUGGACAGUUUCAUACAGUUCGUGCAGAAGGAACAUCGCAUUCCACCUCACCCCAAGGAUGCUCUGCUGGCUUGAAAGGAGCGGCGAGGAUCAAACUGCACGGCUCGGUGGCGGCGCGCGCGCGCCGGACGCAGGAGCAUCACACGCAGUGAGUUACUUUCACUGAAGUGCACCUCGCUGCCAAUGUUACCGGUGCGCUCAUCUCGGUUAUUUUGCAGUCACGCAUUUAAAUUAAAGCACUGUUAUUUCUACGUGAAGGGACAAUCAAUGUGAACUCUGACUUUCACACAGGACACGGACGGACGCGGAGGGAGGCUGUCGUUCCAAUUCGUGCCGCGCGCGACACACAGUGCGUGUGCGCCGGCGAAUGUGGUUAAUUUUUUUUUUUUUUUUUUUUUAAAGAAAAUUUUUAAAAAAAGAUCAGACGCUGUCGUUACCUGGGUUGUGCUGCGUGGGGGCUGCGGGCAGCAUCCUCCGAUCCCC